GAUCAUGCUCAGGAUGAACGCUGGCGGCGUGCUUAACACAUGCAAGUCGAGCGAAGCAAUUUAAGUGAAGUUUUCGGAUGGAUCUUAGAUUGACUGAGCGGCGGACGGGUGAGUAACGCGUGGAUAACCUGCCUCACACAGGGGGAUAACAGUUAGAAAUGACUGCUAAUACCGCAUAAGCGCACGGUACCGCAUGGUGCAGUGUGAAAAACUCCGGUGGUGUGAGAUGG
This 230-nucleotide ribosomal RNA is filed under the name uncultured bacterium. RNAcentral describes it as "partial 16S ribosomal RNA". It matches the Rfam family "Bacterial small subunit ribosomal RNA", at positions 15 to 228 of the family's 1533-position model. The record is from RNAcentral.